CAUGCAGUCGAACGAAGUUAGGAAGCUUGCUUCUGAUACUUAGUGGCGGACGGGUGAGUAAUGCUUAGGAAUCUGCCUAGUAGUGGGGGAUAACUUGGGGAAACCCAAGCUAAUACCGCAUACGACCUACGGGUGAAAGGGGGCUUUUAGCUCUCGCUAUUAGAUGAGCCUAAGUCGGAUUAGCUGGUUGGUGGGGUAAAGGCCUACCAAGGCGACGAUCUGUAGCUGGUCUGAGAGGAUGAUCAGCCACACUGGGACUGAGACACGGCCCAGACUCCUACGGGAGGCAGCAGUGGGGAAUAUUGGACAAUGGGCGAAAGCCUGAUCCAGCCAUGCCGCGUGUGUGAAGAAGGCCUUUUGGUUGUAAAGCACUUUAAGUGGGGAGGAAAAGCUUAUGGUUAAUACCCAUAAGCCCUGACGUUACCCACAGAAUAAGCACCGGCUAACUCUGUGCCAGCAGCCGCGGUAAUACAGAGGGUGCAAGCGUUAAUCGGAAUUACUGGGCGUAAAGCGCGCGUAGGUGGUUAUUUAAGUCAGAUGUGAAAGCCCCGGGCUUAACCUGGGAACUGCAUCUGAUACUGGAUAACUAGAGUAGGUGAGAGGGGAGUAGAAUUCCAGGUGUAGCGGUGAAAUGCGUAGAGAUCUGGAGGAAUACCGAUGGCGAAGGCAGCUCCCUGGCAUCAUACUGACACUGAGGUGCGAAAGCGUGGGUAGCAAACAGGAUUAGAUA
This 730-nucleotide ribosomal RNA is filed under the name Moraxella sp. OTG 46. Its description in RNAcentral is "bacterial SSU rRNA". It matches the Rfam family "Bacterial small subunit ribosomal RNA", at positions 54 to 784 of the family's 1533-position model. The record is from RNAcentral. Lineage: Bacteria; Pseudomonadati; Pseudomonadota; Gammaproteobacteria; Moraxellales; Moraxellaceae.